ACAGUGUCUGGUGGGUAGUUUGACUGGGGCGGUCUCCUCCUAAAGAGUAACGGAGGAGCACGAAGGUUGGCUAAUCCUGGUCGGACAUCAGGAGGUUAGUGCAAUGGCAUAAGCCAGCUUGACUGCGAGCGUGACGGCGCGAGCAGGUGCGAAAGCAGGUCAUAGUGAUCCGGUGGUUCUGAAUGGAAGGGCCAUCGCUCAACGGAUAAAAGGUACUCCGGGGAUAACAGGCUGAUACCGCCCAAGAGUUCAUAUCGACGGCGGUGUUUGGCACCUCGAUGUCGGCUCAUCACAUCCUGGGGCUGAAGUAGGUCCCAAGGGUAUGGCUGUUCGCCAUUUAAAGUGGUACGCGAGCUGGGUUUAGAACGUCGUGAGACAGUUCGGUCCCUAUCUGCCGUGGGCGCUGGAGAACUGAGGGGGGCUGCUCCUAGUACGAGAGGACCGGAGUGGACGCAUCACUGGUGUUCGGGUUGUCAUGCCAAUGGCACUGCCCGGUAGCUAAAUGCGGAAGAGAUA
Molecule: ribosomal RNA, 516 nt
Filed under: Escherichia coli
Lineage: Bacteria; Pseudomonadati; Pseudomonadota; Gammaproteobacteria; Enterobacterales; Enterobacteriaceae
Description: partial 23S ribosomal RNA
Rfam family: Bacterial large subunit ribosomal RNA
Source: RNAcentral